This 497-nucleotide ribosomal RNA is filed under the name uncultured bacterium. RNAcentral's name for it is "partial 16S ribosomal RNA". It matches the Rfam family "Bacterial small subunit ribosomal RNA", at positions 28 to 507 of the family's 1533-position model. The record is from RNAcentral.
GAUGAACGCUGGCGGCGUGCCUAAUACAUGCAAGUAGAACGCUGAAGGGAGGAGCUUGCUCUUUCCGGAUGAGUUGCGAACGGGUGAGUAACGCGUAGGUAACCUGCCUGGUAGCGGGGGAUAACUAUUGGAAACGAUAGCUAAUACCGCAUAACAGUAGAUGUUGCAUGAUAUCUACUUAAAAGGUGCAAUUGCACCACUACCAGAUGGACCUGCGUUGUAUUAGCUAGUUGGUGAGGUAACGGCUCACCAAGGCGACGAUACAUAGCCGACCUGAGAGGGUGAUCGGCCACACUGGGACUGAGACACGGCCCAGACUCCUACGGGAGGCAGCAGUAGGGAAUCUUCGGCAAUGGACGGAAGUCAGACCGAGCAACGCCGCGUGAGUGAAGAAGGUUGUCGGAUCGUAAAGCUCUGUUGUAAGAGAAGAACGAGUGUGAGAGUGGAAAGUUCACACUGUGACGGUAUCUUACCAGAAAGGGACGGCUAACUACGUG